AGGGAAGAACUUUGCUUCCUUGUCGAUAACAAUCAGGUUCCACUUUGGGCUUCUUCACGGUUGAAGAUAGGGUGGGAUUGUUGAUAGUUUUACAUGGUUUCUGCUUCGAGGACCGUUCGUAGGUGGUUGACAGCGACACUUUCUCCGUUUGUUGACAGGACUACGUGAGACUCUGCACGGAUACUGUGACACGUGACUCUAGCCCCCAUCACUGAUGAGGGUUUACGUGUGGUUCUGGGUAACCGCUCUCCUGCGGACAGUGGAUGGAUUUGCAGGGCGAACCAUGGAACAAUCAUCAACCUCGACCGUCAAACCAGACAUGACAUCCAACAUCGAUACCACUUCAGGCGCCACUCCGAAUGUUGCUCAGACGUCGUCUCGUCCCCCAGGCAAGUGCAUGCAACAGUUCGUUGUGACGUAUCAACAUACAAAGUUAAUAUGUCAUAACGCUGUACCAAAUACAACUACUGGUUUGGGAUCAAAAGCCU
This is a long non-coding RNA of Branchiostoma belcheri (Belcher's lancelet), 488 nucleotides long. RefSeq lists it as uncharacterized. NCBI's taxonomy places the organism in Eukaryota, Metazoa, Chordata, Leptocardii, Amphioxiformes, Branchiostomatidae. The record is from RefSeq and is a predicted model, not a curated record. The transcript is spliced from 4 exons.